RNAcentral lists this microRNA precursor (51 nucleotides) under Schistosoma mattheei. Its description in RNAcentral is "mir-3492 microRNA precursor family". It matches the Rfam family "mir-3492 microRNA precursor family", at positions 1 to 51 of the family's 79-position model. The record is from Rfam by way of RNAcentral. Lineage: Eukaryota; Metazoa; Platyhelminthes; Trematoda; Strigeidida; Schistosomatidae.
AGCCUUCUGUAUCCGUGCUGAGAUUUCGUCACACACCAGACCACAAGGGCU